UUUAUUAUUUUCUAAAUCUUGUAUUAGAAGUUGGACCUUUCGAAAGUCUUAAUUAAUUAAUUGAAUACACCAUCUUCAUAAGAGCUAGGCAUGCUUCUGGUGCCUAUUUGUGCCCCAAGAAGGGGUCGACGGCGGAGACUGGUGGGAAGUCAUCUUCUUUGCACGCACACCAAGUAUCUUUGCAAAUGCAAGUUUCGCAUUGUCCACAAACGCUGAUGCUGCAGUCUGUAUCCUCCUUGCAUCGAAAUGAAAUUACACGGAACCUCCCUUCAGCUACCAUCUCAUCUGAAUCUGCACAUCAUUUUCAACAUGCAUCAAUUAAUUCAAUCACUAUUAAAUAUGCAUGCAUAAAUGUGAUAUGUCACCUUUUAAAGUUAAUAGGAAUGAACAUAAAUGGAUAGGAGAGACUUACAGUAUGCAAAAACCACGAGGAUGACCAUGAGAGCCAAUUUGAGUGAAGAUUUCUCCAUAUAUUUUUUUAUAUAUGCACUAGGAAUUUAUUGGAAAAAGAAUUUUAUAGGUGAAGCUGUUCGACUGUUUACCAAGAACUUGACUUACAUAGAUUUUAAUUACAUGAGAUUUUUGCAUUAAAUGCUAUCUUAUCUUCAACACGUGGUAUGGUUGUAGAAAAGGAAAUCAAGUACAGCACCUAUGCUAUGUAGGGGUGUCAAAAAAGUCCGUCCGGACUGGACCCGGUCAAUUCGGUCCGAGCAAAACCCGGACCGCAUACACAUAAAAAUCGGAUUCGGAUUUGAAAUUCUCAAACCCAGACAUUUUUGAGC
RNAcentral lists this long non-coding RNA (782 nucleotides) under Citrus x clementina. RNAcentral describes it as "Citrus clementina (C. clementina) long non-coding RNA (CCLE_LNC003621)". The record is from RNAcentral. Lineage: Eukaryota; Viridiplantae; Streptophyta; Magnoliopsida; Sapindales; Rutaceae.